GAGGAGGCUCAGCAGCUGGCCAGAGCAGCAGGAGGAGUACUGGGUUCUGCCAGGUGCAUGGCAGGAGAGGAAGCCAAACACAGCCGUAAAUUACACCUGGCCUCCCAACACAACCAACACCACUCUAUUGUAGUGUGAUUGAGGCGAUUGACCCACCCCACCCGCCAGCUCCAAAUGAAUUCCAUUUCCCACACAGCCAGGUCCCCCUCGUUCCUCCUUAUUUCUAAUUUACAUUGUGAUCAUAUAUGUCUGAAAAAUGAUAUCGUAAAAAAGAUGAAUGUAGUAAUUACCACUUCCUCUUAUCUCUGCCUCCCCCAGCGUCUCACUGCCUCUGGACUGCUGCCCCGCACCAUUCUACUGAGGCUCGGACUACCUUUCCAUUUGAAAUCCAUAACGACGGAUGCCAAUGACCAAAGGUAACAGCAGGAGGGGAACGCACCCAAUAUAAACACCAAGAGUUCACAGGAACCCCAGUUACAGACCUGUUGAAAGAGCACCAGUGGCCUUUGGUGAGGUUGGUCAUAGAAGGGGUCCAUACCGACGCAGAGCGGGGCCUGUCCUGGGGGCUUGGUUCUGGGAGACUGAGCCACUGAGCCUUCCCUCCCUUGGUAAAUGAAGGCCUGGAGGGCAUGCGGCCAGCGGGCCACCUGGCCAUGGAAGGAGCGGGACAGGGGAGCAGUGGUGAUUAAUGCCCUGUGUUUAGGGUGCCGUCAUCGGGAGGGAGACGGACGAGGGCUCAGCAUGAUGGAUGAGGGCUGGACCAGGGGCUGAUAAGACAUGGCCCAUGAAUCUGUUCUACAUCAUCGGCUCCUUUGAUCACUGACAGAAGUUCAGAGAUGGGCCUGUGCAUCUGUCUAAACAAACAAACCCCCCCCCCCACACACACACACACACACACACACACACACACACUGGCACUGGCUCUCAGGUUAAC
This is a non-coding RNA of Oncorhynchus mykiss (rainbow trout), 934 nucleotides long. The record is from RefSeq and is a predicted model, not a curated record. Lineage: Eukaryota; Metazoa; Chordata; Actinopteri; Salmoniformes; Salmonidae.